GAGGGUAUAGCUCAGUGAUAGAGUGUUUGCUUAGCAUGCAUGAGGUCUUGGGUUCAAUCCCCAGUAUCUCUA
This 72-nucleotide transfer RNA is filed under the name Camelus bactrianus (Bactrian camel). It matches the Rfam family "tRNA". From Rfam's summary of the family: Transfer RNA (tRNA) molecules are approximately 80 nucleotides in length. Their secondary structure includes four short double-helical elements and three loops (D, anti-codon, and T loops). The record is from Rfam by way of RNAcentral. RNAcentral also lists the same sequence under 2 other names. Lineage: Eukaryota; Metazoa; Chordata; Mammalia; Artiodactyla; Camelidae.